Molecule: ribosomal RNA, 376 nt
Filed under: Clostridioides difficile
Lineage: Bacteria; Bacillati; Bacillota; Clostridia; Peptostreptococcales; Peptostreptococcaceae
Description: bacterial LSU rRNA
Rfam family: Bacterial large subunit ribosomal RNA
Source: RNAcentral
UCAGGUGGCCGCAGAGAAUAGGCCCAAGCGACUGUUUACCAAAAACAUAGGUUUCUGCUAAGUCGCAAGACGAUGUAUAGGAGCUGACGCCUGCCCGGUGCAUGAAGGUUAAGGGGAUCUGUUAGAGCAAUCGAAGCAGGUAACUUAAGCCCCAGUAAACGGCGGCCGUAACUAUACCGGUCCUAAGGUAGCGAAAUUCCUUGUCGGGUAAGUUCCGACCCGCACGAAAGGCGUAACGAUUUGGGCACUGUCUCAACAACAGACUCGGUGAAAUUGUAAUUCCGGUGAAGAUGCCGGAUACCUGCGACAGGACGGAAAGACCCCAUGGAGCUUUACUGUAGCUUGACAUUGGGUCUUGGUACUACAUGUACAGGAU